UAACCUCUGAUCCUUCCCACAG
RNAcentral lists this microRNA (22 nucleotides) under Mus musculus (house mouse). RNAcentral's name for it is "mmu-miR-3103-3p". The record is from miRBase by way of RNAcentral. Lineage: Eukaryota; Metazoa; Chordata; Mammalia; Rodentia; Muridae.